GACGUAGGGGGCGAGCGUUGUCCGGAUUUAUUGGGCGUAAAGCGCGCGCAGGCGGCCCGGUAAGUCGGAUGUGAAAACCCGCGGCUCAACCGCGGGCGGUCAUUCGAUACUGCCGGGCUCGAGGCAGGUAGGGGAGAUCGGAAUUCCCGGUGUAGCGGUGAAAUGCGCAGAUAUCAGGAGGAACACCAAUGGCGAAGGCAGCUCGCUGGGACGGUACUGACGCUGAGGCGCGAAAGCGUGGGGAGCAAACAGGAUUAGAAACCCUGGUAGU
RNAcentral lists this ribosomal RNA (271 nucleotides) under uncultured bacterium. Its description in RNAcentral is "partial 16S ribosomal RNA". It matches the Rfam family "Bacterial small subunit ribosomal RNA", at positions 524 to 794 of the family's 1533-position model. The record is from RNAcentral.